Molecule: long non-coding RNA, 232 nt
Organism: Notothenia coriiceps (black rockcod)
Lineage: Eukaryota; Metazoa; Chordata; Actinopteri; Perciformes; Nototheniidae
Exons: 2
Source: RefSeq, a predicted model, not a curated record
GGCCAGGGCCGUAAAGUGGGGGGACCAAUGGCCACCUUCUCCAUUUCCUGCCCCACUGCUUCCAGCGCCCUUGCUCAGACCACACCCAUCUUUGAACACCUUAAAAAGAGCACACCACUCCACUCUUCGGCCUGAGGGUGCCAUUGUCCAAGAUGUCAAAGUUCUGUCCCGGCGAAAGCGUAAAGUCAAACCUCUGGAUCAGCUUGGCCAUUACCAAUUUCGCUUCCAUCUG